AGCUGUGCACAGUGGCAGUAUCAUAGCCAUGAGGUUUAUCAAAGGCGUGAUUAUUGCUAAUUGAAAACAUACCUUUUAAAAACGUAAUCCUUAGUACAACAGUUAUGUG
This is a small nuclear RNA of Cavia aperea (Brazilian guinea pig), 109 nucleotides long. Its record names the gene U4. It matches the Rfam family "U4 spliceosomal RNA". From Rfam's summary of the family: U4 small nuclear RNA (U4 snRNA) is a component of the major U2-dependent spliceosome. The record is from Ensembl. Lineage: Eukaryota; Metazoa; Chordata; Mammalia; Rodentia; Caviidae.